CAAUAGCGUAUAUUUAAGUUGUUGCAGUUAAAAAGCUCGUAGUCGGAUUUUGGCUGAGAACGAACGGUCCGCCGUUAGGUGUGCACUGUUUGGUCUCAGCUUCCUGGUGAGGAGGUGUGCUUCACGGCCACUUAGUCACCGUGGUUACUUUGAAAAAAUUAGAGUGUUCAAAGCGGGCUUACGCUUGAAUAUAUUAGCAUGGAAUAACACCAUAGGACUCCUGUCCUAUCUCGUUGGUCUCGGGACGGGAGUAAUGAUUAAGAGGAACAGUUGGGGGCAUUCGUAUUUCAUUGUCAGAGGUGAAAUUCUUGGAUUUAUGAAAGACGAACUUCUGCGAAAGCAUUUGCCAAGGAUGUUUUCAUUGA
This 365-nucleotide ribosomal RNA is filed under the name uncultured eukaryote. RNAcentral's name for it is "partial 18S ribosomal RNA". It matches the Rfam family "Eukaryotic small subunit ribosomal RNA", at positions 592 to 976 of the family's 1831-position model. The record is from RNAcentral.